UUUACUUAGCCACACGAUUUUUCCACAUUUUCUCUAUCUCACUUUUAUUCUCUCACAUUUUGAAUUUAGGGUUUCUGAAAAAGAGAGAAAACUCAUUUUCUUCUUUUAUUCCUUUUCCUCUUCUCUCAGUCUUCUUCUAUGCCUCCACACGUGUAUUUUGAUUUUGAAAUUUCUUUUCUAUUUAUCGACCAUUUUAUUUUAUUCAUCAAUGCCUCUUUUUUCUCUUCUGAUUUUGGAUGUUUAUUUUCGAUUAACAUCAGUUAGUUUUAUGUCUCUUUCUGUUUAUGCAGAUGAGCAUCAACAGGGACGACAAAUCGAGCAUGAAUGGUUGAUGAAGCUUUGACUCAUGUUCAUUAUCAAAUGAUAAGACCGUUGGUGGAGGUGGUGAUGCUUUCAACCCCUUCUUCACCGAGGCAGGUGAGGACGGGAACAUAUUGUCAACUUUUCAACCUAGAGCAACUCAUUAGCGACAAAGAAGAUGCCGCCAAUAACUUUGAUUACAAUGCUCUAAUACGUUUGCCAUGUUAUAAGAACAUUUCAUUUAUGACAAUGGUUUACCCUUCUUUUUUUGAGGUGGUUUAAAAUACAAAAUGUCUCUAUUGAAGAAAGAGAUGAUUUUAGUGUUA
Lathyrus oleraceus (garden pea) is the source of this 626-nucleotide long non-coding RNA. RefSeq lists it as uncharacterized. The record is from RefSeq and is a predicted model, not a curated record. Lineage: Eukaryota; Viridiplantae; Streptophyta; Magnoliopsida; Fabales; Fabaceae. The transcript has 2 exons.